Molecule: ribosomal RNA, 687 nt
Filed under: uncultured Alphaproteobacteria bacterium
Lineage: Bacteria; Pseudomonadati; Pseudomonadota; Alphaproteobacteria
Description: bacterial SSU rRNA
Rfam family: Bacterial small subunit ribosomal RNA
Source: RNAcentral
GGCGGCAGGCUUAACACAUGCAAGUCGAGCGAUCCCUUCGGGGAUAGCGGCGGACGGGUGAGUAACGCGUGGGAACGUGCCCUUCACUACGGAAUAGCCCAUGGAAACGUGGAUUAAUACCGUAUACGCCCUUCGGGGGAAAGAAUUUCGGUGAGGGAUCGGCCCGCGUCUGAUUAGGUAGUUGGUGGGGUAAUGGCCUACCAAGCCGACGAUCAGUAGCUGGUUUUAGAGGAUGAUCAGCCACACUGGGACUGAGACACGGCCCAGACUCCUACGGGAGGCAGCAGUGGGGAAUCUUAGACAAUGGGGGCAACCCUGAUCUAGCCAUGCCGCGUGAGUGAUGAAGGUCUUAGGAUCGUAAAGCUCUUUCGCCUGUGAUGACAAUGACAGUAGCAGGUAAAGAAACCCCGGCUAACUCCGUGCCAGCAGCCGCGGUAAUACGGAGGGGGUUAGCGUUGUUCGGAAUUACUGGGCGUAAAGCGCGCGUAGGCGGACUGGAAAGUUGGGGGUGAAAUCCCGGGGCUCAACCCCGGAACUGCCUCCAAAACUAUCAGUCUAGAGUUCGAGAGAGGUGAGUGGAAUUGCGAGUGUAGAGGUGAAAUUCGUAGAUAUUCGCAGGAACACCAGUGGCGAAGGCGGCUCACUGGCUCGAUACUGACGCUGAGGUGCGAAAGUGUGGGGAGCAAA